RNAcentral lists this ribosomal RNA (253 nucleotides) under uncultured bacterium. RNAcentral's name for it is "partial 16S ribosomal RNA". It matches the Rfam family "Bacterial small subunit ribosomal RNA", at positions 524 to 776 of the family's 1533-position model. The record is from RNAcentral.
UACAGAGGGUGCGAGCGUUAAUCGGAAUUACUGGGCGUAAAGCGCACGUAGGCGGUCUGUUAAGUCAGGUGUGAAAGCCCCCGGCUCAACCGGGGAAUUGCAUUUGAUACUGGCAGGCUCGAGAACGGUAGGGGUGAGUGGAACUCCAGGUGGAGCGGUGAAAUGCGUAGAUAUCUGGAGGAACACCGGUGGCGAAAGCGGCUCACUGGACCGUCACUGACGCUGAGGUGCGAAAGCUAGGGUAGCAAACGGG